Molecule: ribosomal RNA, 254 nt
Filed under: uncultured bacterium
Lineage: Bacteria
Description: partial 16S ribosomal RNA
Rfam family: Bacterial small subunit ribosomal RNA
Source: RNAcentral
UACGGGGGGGGCUAGCGUUGUUCGGAAUUACUGGGCGUAAAGGGCGCGUAGGCGGCCUACUAAGUCGGACGUGAAAUCCCUCGGACUCAACCGGGGAACUGCGUCCGAUACUGGUGGGCUCGAAUCCGGGAGAGGGAUGUGGAAUUCCAGGUGUAGCGGUGAAAUGCGUAGAUAUCUGGAGGAACACCGGUGGCGAAGGCGGCAUCCUGGACCGGUAUUGACGCUGAUGCGCGAAAGCCAGGGGAGCAAACGGG